This 149-nucleotide ribosomal RNA is filed under the name Campylobacter jejuni. Its description in RNAcentral is "partial 16S ribosomal RNA". It matches the Rfam family "Bacterial small subunit ribosomal RNA", at positions 1 to 143 of the family's 1533-position model. The record is from RNAcentral. Lineage: Bacteria; Pseudomonadati; Campylobacterota; Epsilonproteobacteria; Campylobacterales; Campylobacteraceae.
UUUUAUGGAGAGUUUGAUCCUGGCUCAGAGUGAACGCUGGCGGCGUGCCUAAUACAUGCAAGUCGAACGAUGAAGCUUCUAGCUUGCUAGAAGUGGAUUAGUGGCGCACGGGUGAGUAAGGUAUAGUUAAUCUGCCCUACACAAGAGGA